GAAGAGAGAGAGAUGAGGUGUUGGGAGAAGAGAGGAAGAGAGAGAUGAGGUGUUGGGAGAAGAGAGAAGAGAGAGAUGAGGUGUUGGGAGAAGAGAGAAGAGAGAGAUGAGGUGUUGGGAGAAGAGAGCAGAGAGAGAUGAGGUGUUGGGAGAAGAGAGAGAGAUAAGGUGUUGAGAGAAUAGAGAGAUGAGGUGUUGGGAGAAGAGAGAGAGAUGAGGUUUUGAGAGAAUAGAGAGAUUAGGUGUUGGGAGAAGAGAGAAGAGAGAAGAGAGAGAUGAGGUGUUGAUAGAAGAGAGAGAUGAGGUGUUGGGAGAAGAGAGGAAGA
Oncorhynchus tshawytscha (Chinook salmon) is the source of this 326-nucleotide long non-coding RNA. The record is from Ensembl. Lineage: Eukaryota; Metazoa; Chordata; Actinopteri; Salmoniformes; Salmonidae.